Molecule: non-coding RNA, 190 nt
Organism: Pimephales promelas (fathead minnow)
Lineage: Eukaryota; Metazoa; Chordata; Actinopteri; Cypriniformes; Leuciscidae
Source: RefSeq, a predicted model, not a curated record
GGAACCAUGGAAACGAGGAAACCUCUUCAACUGACAAACAGCAAAAAAUAGCGUCUCUCUGUUUUUCCACUGCUUUCAGUCUAGAAAAUCAUCAUGAUGUCCUGCUACAGCCCUGUCCCAAGACAACCUCCACGGCUAUGAACUCGACUAGUGUGUUUUUAAUUAUGUUGGCCAAUGAGACACCAUACUG